CCUACGGGAGGCAGCAGUAGGGAAUCUUCCACAAUGGCCGAAAGCCUGAUGGAGCAACGCCGCGUGAGUGAAGAAGGGUUUCGGAUCGUAAAGCUCUGUUGGUAGGGAAGAAAGAUAGAGGAAGUAACUGGCCUUUAUUUGACGGUACUUACUUAGAAAGUCACGGCUAACUACGUGCCAGCAGCCGCGGUAAUACGUAGGUGGCAAGCGUUGUCCGGUUUUAUUGGGCGUAAAGCGAGGGCAGGCGGUUGUAUAAGUCUGAUGUGAAAGCCUUCGGCUCAACCGGGGAAUUGCAUCAGAAACUGGUAAACUUGAGUGCAGAAGAGGAGAGUGGAAUGCCAUGUGUAGCGGUGGAAUGCGUAGAGAUAUGGAAGAACACCAGUGGCGAAGGCGGCUCUCUGGUCUGCAACUGACGCUGAGGCUCGAAAGCGUGGGUAGCGAACAGGAUUAGAUACCCCAGUAGUC
This 465-nucleotide ribosomal RNA is filed under the name uncultured bacterium. RNAcentral describes it as "partial 16S ribosomal RNA". It matches the Rfam family "Bacterial small subunit ribosomal RNA", at positions 338 to 795 of the family's 1533-position model. The record is from RNAcentral.